GUGGUGGCUCAGUGGUAGAGCGAUCACCUAGUAUGCACAAGGCACUGGGUUCCAUCCUCAGCACCACA
This 68-nucleotide transfer RNA is filed under the name Marmota monax (woodchuck). Its description in RNAcentral is "tRNA.Undet". Lineage: Eukaryota; Metazoa; Chordata; Mammalia; Rodentia; Sciuridae. The record is from RNAcentral.